Homo sapiens (human) is the source of this 590-nucleotide long non-coding RNA. RefSeq annotates it as SMIM15 antisense RNA 1. The record is from RefSeq and is marked validated. Lineage: Eukaryota; Metazoa; Chordata; Mammalia; Primates; Hominidae. The transcript is spliced from 4 exons.
AUCCUGGGUUGGCCCAGCCACACCUUGCGCCGCCGCCGUUUCUGCUGGACACCAGGAGAAAACCACGGCAGCUGCAGCCACCAACUUCCCCUACAUAGCCCCACGGGAUCGGAUCCCACUCCCCACUCACCGCCAGACCGGAAGCAGGAAGGCGGAAGUCGCGGCCUUUGCGUCCCGCCCACAGGCGACCCGAGCCGCCAGCCGGGCGUGACUUCUCCAUCAUCUUCCUCCACCUGAUUCGUAGAGACCUCUGGACAUCUGAGCCUAAGCAGGGCCACUAAAUGAGAGAGAAUCCCAUCACUGAAAAGCAACAAUGAAUAUAUUAAGGACCACAGGAGAGAUAGAAGAAAUAUUGCAACUGAAGCUGCUAGAUGGUUAUGAUUAUCUGAAUAGGUGUGAUCUUGACUUUAGCGAAUUAACAGUCAUGUAGGUGAAAUUAUCUUGGACUCUCCAGACAAGACCAGCCACCAGCUGAAUACCAGUGGGUGACCCCAGUCAAUCACAUGGAACAGAAGAAUCACUCAGCUGAGCCCUGCCAGAAUUCUUGAUCCACAAAAUCCUGAAGUGCAAUUAAAUGAUGGUUGUUUUAA